Molecule: ribosomal RNA, 377 nt
Filed under: Tuber whetstonense
Lineage: Eukaryota; Fungi; Ascomycota; Pezizomycetes; Pezizales; Tuberaceae
Description: eukaryotic LSU rRNA
Rfam family: 5.8S ribosomal RNA (bases 1-123)
Source: RNAcentral
AUCGAUGAAGAACGCAGCGAAAUGCGAUAAGUAAUGUGAAUUGCAGAAUUCAGUGAAUCAUCGAAUCUUUGAACGCACAUUGCGCCCUUUGGUAUUCCAUAGGGCAUGCCUGUUCGAGCGUCACUAACAACCCCAUCAUACAAGAGUGUGGUAUUGGCAGAAGUGGGUAGGGCUAGCAGUGCUGGUCCCACUCUGCUGGAAUGGAUAGGCCGGAAAUGCAGACCAUGGCAACAAACUUUCAGAGUAUUUUGAAAUGUAAAUUAGUUUGGAGCUGGUCAGAAUCCAGGCUAUUGGACCCCCAUUCUGUGUAAAGCAGUAAUGUUGACCUCGGAUCAGGUAGGGAUACCCGCUGAACUUAAGCAUAUCAAUAAGCGGAG